GGGUUGUGAGGUUAAGCGACUAAGCGUACACGGUGGAUGCCCUGGCAGUCAGAGGCGAUGAAGGACGUGCUAAUCUGCGAUAAGCGUCGGUAAGGUGAUAUGAACCGUUAUAACCGGCGAUUUCCGAAUGGGGAAACCCAGUGUGAUUCGUCACACUAUCAUUAACUGAAUCCAUAGGUUAAUGAGGCGAACCGGGGGAACUGAAACAUCUAAGUACCCCGAGGAAAAGAAAUCAACCGAGAUUCCCCCAGUAGCGGCGAGCGAACGGGGAGGAGCCCAGAGCCUGAAUCAGUGUGUGUGUUAGUGGAAGCGUCUGGAAAGGCGCGCGAUACAGGGUGACAGCCCCGUACACAAAAAUGCACAUGCUGUGAGCUCGAUGAGUAGGGCGGGACACGUGGUAUCCUGUCUGAAUAUGGGGGGACCAUCCUCCAAGGCUAAAUACUCCUGACUGACCGAUAGUGAACCAGUACCGUGAGGGAAAGGCGAAAAGAACCCCGGCGAGGGGAGUGAAAAAGAACCUGAAACCGUGUACGUACAAGCAGUGGGAGCACGCUUAGGCGUGUGACUGCGUACCUUUUGUAUAAUGGGUCAGCGACUUAUAUUCUGUAGCAAGGUUAACCGAAUAGGGGAGCCGAAGGGAAACCGAGUCUUAACUGGGCGUUAAGUUGCAGGGUAUAGACCCGAAACCCGGUGAUCUAGCCAUGGGCAGGUUGAAGGUUGGGUAACACUAACUGGAGGACCGAACCGACUAAUGUUGAAAAAUUAGCGGAUGACUUGUGGCUGGGGGUGAAAGGCCAAUCAAACCGGGAGAUAGCUGGUUCUCCCCGAAAGCUAUUUAGGUAGCGCCUCGUGAAUUCAUCUCCGGGGGUAGAGCACUGUUUCGGCAAGGGGGUCAUCCCGACUUACCAACCCGAUGCAAACUGCGAAUACCGGAGAAUGUUAUCACGGGAGACACACGGCGGGUGCUAACGUCCGUCGUGAAGAGGGAAACAACCCAGACCGCCAGCUAAGGUCCCAAAGUCAUGGUUAAGUGGGAAACGAUGUGGGAAGGCCCAGACAGCCAGGAUGUUGGCUUAGAAGCAGCCAUCAUUUAAAGAAAGCGUAAUAGCUCACUGGUCGAGUCGGCCUGCGCGGAAGAUGUAACGGGGCUAAACCAUGCACCGAAGCUGCGGCAGCGACGCUUAUGCGUUGUUGGGUAGGGGAGCGUUCUGUAAGCCUGUGAAGGUGUGCUGUGAGGCAUGCUGGAGGUAUCAGAAGUGCGAAUGCUGACAUAAGUAACGAUAAAGCGGGUGAAAAGCCCGCUCGCCGGAAGACCAAGGGUUCCUGUCCAACGUUAAUCGGGGCAGGGUGAGUCGACCCCUAAGGCGAGGCCGAAAGGCGUAGUCGAUGGGAAACAGGUUAAUAUUCCUGUACUUGGUGUUACUGCGAAGGGGGGACGGAGAAGGCUAUGUUGGCCGGGCGACGGUUGUCCCGGUUUAAGCGUGUAGGCUGGUUUUCCAGGCAAAUCCGGAAAAUCAAGGCUGAGGCGUGAUGACGAGGCACUACGGUGCUGAAGCAACAAAUGCCCUGCUUCCAGGAAAAGCCUCUAAGCAUCAGGUAACAUCAAAUCGUACCCCAAACCGACACAGGUGGUCAGGUAGAGAAUACCAAGGCGCUUGAGAGAACUCGGGUGAAGGAACUAGGCAAAAUGGUGCCGUAACUUCGGGAGAAGGCACGCUGAUAUGUAGGUGAAGUCCCUCGCGGAUGGAGCUGAAAUCAGUCGAAGAUACCAGCUGGCUGCAACUGUUUAUUAAAAACACAGCACUGUGCAAACACGAAAGUGGACGUAUACGGUGUGACGCCUGCCCGGUGCCGGAAGGUUAAUUGAUGGGGUCAGCGCAAGCGAAGCUCUUGAUCGAAGCCCCGGUAAACGGCGGCCGUAACUAUAACGGUCCUAAGGUAGCGAAAUUCCUUGUCGGGUAAGUUCCGACCUGCACGAAUGGCGUAAUGAUGGCCAGGCUGUCUCCACCCGAGACUCAGUGAAAUUGAACUCGCUGUGAAGAUGCAGUGUACCCGCGGCAAGACGGAAAGACCCCGUGAACCUUUACUAUAGCUUGACACUGAACAUUGAGCCUUGAUGUGUAGGAUAGGUGGGAGGCUUUGAAGUGUGGACGCCAGUCUGCAUGGAGCCGACCUUGAAAUACCACCCUUUAAUGUUUGAUGUUCUAACGUGGACCCGUAAUCCGGGUUGCGGACAGUGUCUGGUGGGUAGUUUGACUGGGGCGGUCUCCUCCUAAAGAGUAACGGAGGAGCACGAAGGUUGGCUAAUCCUGGUCGGACAUCAGGAGGUUAGUGCAAUGGCAUAAGCCAGCUUGACUGCGAGCGUGACGGCGCGAGCAGGUGCGAAAGCAGGUCAUAGUGAUCCGGUGGUUCUGAAUGGAAGGGCCAUCGCUCAACGGAUAAAAGGUACUCCGGGGAUAACAGGCUGAUACCGCCCAAGAGUUCAUAUCGACGGCGGUGUUUGGCACCUCGAUGUCGGCUCAUCACAUCCUGGGGCUGAAGUAGGUCCCAAGGGUAUGGCUGUUCGCCAUUUAAAGUGGUACGCGAGCUGGGUUUAGAACGUCGUGAGACAGUUCGGUCCCUAUCUGCCGUGGGCGCUGGAGAAUUGAGGGGGGCUGCUCCUAGUACGAGAGGACCGGAGUGGACGCAUCACUGGUGUUCGGGUUGUCAUGCCAAUGGCACUGCCCGGUAGCUAAAUGCGGAAGAGAUAAGUGCUGAAAGCAUCUAAGCACGAAACUUGCCCCGAGAUGAGUUCUCCCUGACUCCUUGAGAGUCCUGAAGGAACGUUGAAGACGACGACGUUGAUAGGCCGGGUGUGUAAGCGCAGCGAUGCGUUGAGCUAACCGGUACUAAUGAACCGUGAGGCUUAACCUUACAACGCCGAAG
RNAcentral lists this ribosomal RNA (2925 nucleotides) under Escherichia coli. RNAcentral describes it as "bacterial LSU rRNA". It matches the Rfam family "Bacterial large subunit ribosomal RNA". The record is from RNAcentral. Lineage: Bacteria; Pseudomonadati; Pseudomonadota; Gammaproteobacteria; Enterobacterales; Enterobacteriaceae.